GAACGCUAGCUACAGGCUUAACACAUGCAAGUCGAGGGGCAGCAUGGUCUUAGCUUGCUAAGGCCGAUGGCGACCGGCGCACGGGUGAGUAACACGUAUCCAACCUGCCGUCUACUCUUGGACAGCCUUCUGAAAGGAAGAUUAAUACAAGAUGGCAUCAUGAGUCCGCAUGUUCACAUGAUUAAAGGUAUUCCGGUAGACGAUGGGGAUGCGUUCCAUUAGAUAGUAGGCGGGGUAACGGCCCACCUAGUCUUCGAUGGAUAGGGGUUCUGAGAGGAAGGUCCCCCACAUUGGAACUGCGACACGGUCCAAACUCCUACGGGAGGCAGCAGUGAGGAAUAUUGGUCAAUGGGCGAGAGCCUGAACCAGCCAAGUAGCGUGAAGGAUGACUGCCCUAUGGGUUGUAAACUUCUUUUAUAAAGGAAUAAAGUCGGGUAUGGAUACCCGUUUGCAUGUACUUUAUGAAUAAGGAUCGGCUAACUCCGUGCCAGCAGCCGCGGUAAUACGGAGGAUCCGAGCGUUAUCCGGAUUUAUUGGGUUUAAAGGGAGCGUAGAUGGAUGUUUAAGUCAGUUGUGAAAGUUUGCGGCUCAACCGUAAAAUUGCAGUUGAUACUGGAUAUCUUGAGUGCAGUUGAGGCAGGCGGAAUUCGUGGUGUAGCGGUGAAAUGCUUAGAUAUCACGAAGAACUCCGAUUGCGAAGGCAGCCUGCUAAGCUGCAACUGACAUUGAGGCUCGAAAGUGUGGGUAUCAAACAGGAUUAGAUACCCUGGUAGUCCACACGGUAAACGAUGAAUACUCGCUGUUUGCGAUAUACUGCAAGCGGCCAAGCGAAAGCGUUAAGUAUUCCACCUGGGGAGUACGCCGGCAACGGUGAAACUCAAAGGAAUUGACGGGGGCCCGCACAAGCGGAGGAACAUGUGGUUUAAUUCGAUGAUACGCGAGGAACCUUACCCGGGCUUAAAUUGCAGAUGAAUUACGGUGAAAGCCGUAAGCCGCAAGGCAUCUGUGAAGGUGCUGCAUGGUUGUCGUCAGCUCGUGCCGUGAGGUGUCGGCUUAAGUGCCAUAACGAGCGCAACCCUUGUUGUCAGUUACUAACAGGUUCCGCUGAGGACUCUGACAAGACUGCCAUCGUAAGAUGUGAGGAAGGUGGGGAUGACGUCAAAUCAGCACGGCCCUUACGUCCGGGGCUACACACGUGUUACAAUGGGGGGUACAGAGGGCCGCUACCACGCGAGUGGAUGCCAAUCCCCAAAACCUCUCUCAGUUCGGACUGGAGUCUGCAACCCGACUCCACGAAGCUGGAUUCGCUAGUAAUCGCGCAUCAGCCACGGCGCGGUGAAUACGUUCCCGGGCCUUGUACACACCGCCCGUCAAGCCAUGGGAGUCAGUAACGCCCGAAGUCAGUGACCCAACCGUAAGGAGGGAGCUGCCGAAGGUGGGACCGAUAACUGGGGUGA
This 1457-nucleotide ribosomal RNA is filed under the name uncultured organism. Its description in RNAcentral is "SSU rRNA". It matches the Rfam family "Bacterial small subunit ribosomal RNA". The record is from RNAcentral.